GCAAUCUGCCCUUCACUUCGGGUCGAGCCCUGGAAACCGGGUCUAAUACCGGAUAAUACCUCUCUCCUCAUGUGGGGAGGUUGAAAGCUCCGACGGUGAAGGAUGAGCCCGCGGCCUAUCAGCUAGUUGGUGGGGUAAUGGCCUACCAAGGCGACGACGGGUAGCCGGCCUGAGAGGGCGACCGGCCACACUGGGACUGAGACACGGCCCAGACUCCUACGGGAGGCAGCAGUGGGGAAUAUUGCACAAUGGGCGAAAGCCUGAUGCAGCGACGCCGCGUGAGGGAUGACGGCCUUCGGGUUGUAAACCUCUUUCAGCAGGGAAGAAGCGCAAGUGACGGUACCUGCAGAAGAAGCACCGGCUAACUACGUGCCAGCAGCCGCGGUAAUACGUAGGGUGCGAGCGUUGUCCGGAAUUAUUGGGCGUAAAGAGCUCGUAGGCGGCUUGUCACGUCGGUUGUGAAAGCCCGGGGCUUAACCCCGGGUCUGCAGUCGAUACGGGCAUGCUAGAGUGUGGUAGGGGAGAUCGGAAUUCCUGGUGUAGCGGUGAAAUGCGCAGAUAUCAGGAGGAACACCGGUGGCGAAGGCGGAUCUCUGGGCCAUUACUGACGCUG
This 613-nucleotide ribosomal RNA is filed under the name Streptomyces beijiangensis. RNAcentral describes it as "bacterial SSU rRNA". It matches the Rfam family "Bacterial small subunit ribosomal RNA", at positions 121 to 748 of the family's 1533-position model. Lineage: Bacteria; Bacillati; Actinomycetota; Actinomycetes; Kitasatosporales; Streptomycetaceae. The record is from RNAcentral.